GACCCCCUCUCUUCUUCUUUUCUUUUUCUCUCCCUUCUCUCUUUCUCUUCUCCCCCCUCACGCAUUCUCCAUUUCUACCGUAGCACCCCCAUCCUUUUUUUCACCUCCAUUUAUUUUCUUUCAUUUUCUAUAGCUUCAUCAUCCACUCGGCUCACCAUCAUCCUCACCGUUGCACGCCGUCCGCUCAAGCUGAGCGCCCUUGGCCUUGAGCUCAACUUCAACGAACCGUAGCUGUUCGAGUUGUGAGCCUUGUAAUUUCAUCGCCAUCGUGCUGCCAUCGUUGGGAGUUCUUCAAUCCACAAAUUAAGGAAAUGUUGAUAUUCAGUAAAUGAUGGGAAAUAUGCUUAGGAUGCAUGUGGGUGUACUUUUCUUCUAAUCGGGAUUUAGGGGAUGGACUCGCUGAGACGUUGUCUCACCCCGUUGUGGGCUAAAUUUUUCAACUCCCUAGAUGGAAGACUGUCAAGUCUGAUGCAGAGGGUGGUAGGAAGUGAAGUAUGAGUUUUUCUGUAGCCCUUCCAGAUGUUGACGAGUCUUUCGUCUGAUUUGGAUAAUGGGUGACAGCUCACCCAAGACUAUUGAAAAGUCUAGCGGGGUCGUAGGGAGGGAUUUGAUCCCAUGGAUGAGGAGCUCGGUGUGUAGAUAACCUAGUAGCUCUUCUUUUUUAUAUAGACCCCUGUUACUUUUAUGUACAUAAACACUAUUGUAAAAAUAUGUGUGUUUUAUGAAAGCAUAAUUCCACGUUUGCUAUCC
This is a long non-coding RNA of Eucalyptus grandis, 750 nucleotides long. RefSeq lists it as uncharacterized. The transcript has 2 exons. NCBI's taxonomy places the organism in Eukaryota, Viridiplantae, Streptophyta, Magnoliopsida, Myrtales, Myrtaceae. The record is from RefSeq and is a predicted model, not a curated record.